GGCGGAGUAGCUCAGUAGGUUAGAGCAGAGGAAUCAUAAUCCUUGUGUCGGGGGUUCAAAUCCCUCCUCCGCUA
Bartonella taylorii 8TBB is the source of this 74-nucleotide non-coding RNA. The record is from Rfam. Lineage: Bacteria; Pseudomonadati; Pseudomonadota; Alphaproteobacteria; Hyphomicrobiales; Bartonellaceae.